CGGGAAUGGAUCCUGCCGGAAUGGAUCCUGCCGGGAGCCAGCGGGGUUGCAUGAGGUGAUUUGAGCUGUCUUUUGUGGCAUCAUUUUUCUCAUGCAGGACCCUCCGUUCUUUGAGAUAAUCGUAAAAUCUGCAGACAUCCCUAAGGCUGGAAUCUGAAUGUCGUUGCACCCCAGUCUUUGGAUAAUACACUAGAAAUCAUGAAGUGGAUUUUAACUCUUUUGUUUAUUGUCUUUUUUUGGAUUCACAGACUAUUCUGAGUUAGAAAGGGCUCCACAAGGAUCCUCGAGUCCAGCUCUUAAGUAAAUGUCCCAUAGGGGAUUGCACCCACCACCUUCGUGUUACCAGCUCCAUGUUCUGACCAACUGCAACUCCUGAAAUUUAACAAAUUUAACUACAAAUAUUGAUGUGUUCUUUCAAUGAACCCACACAUCACCAUGAGGGCAUCACAAUAUCCCAGCUGUAUGCUGCUCUGCUUGAGGAUUUUGAAGCCCAGAUUGCCUGGUCUGGUGGAAAUAUUUCUGGUGGAGAUAUGUAGGUGCAAGCUCUGCCAUUUCACAAGCAGGACCAAAAGUAAGAUCAGGAGACACCUGGUUCAAAUCUGUGAAACUGAUAUGGCAUGUCGAAUUUCAGGCUGCCCUAAAAUGGACCAAGGUAAAAGUGAGCUUUGGAGAUGAAAAGAAUGAAAACAAAGACAAUCUUGAAAAAAAUUACUCUCUUGUUGCUUGUGUGUCAGGUACCUUAAAAUAAGAGUCCUUGCUGCUGUGGCAUGAGCUCAAGCAUAGUCCUCAUGCAUCACUCCUGAGAAAUGACCACCUUGUUCGGAGAAGUAGCAGCUUAUUUUCAACUUGAAGAACCCUGCAGUGCUGACUUCUCUUCCAUAUUCCAAGAGAAAGGACAGAUAAACCCAGUGUAUGCCUCUUAGCAUCUGUCACGUUUCCAGUGUUAGAACCCAGAUAUUUGCUGGGGAAAUUAAAAGUCCCUAAGGCUCAAUCAAGGUGUAAACAUCAUAGGAAAAUCAAUUGAAAGCUGGAUCUAAAGGCUCACCUCACCCUAUGGAGGAUACUCGUGCCUUAAAGCUGGGUUCUGAGAGAAGCAGCAUUUCUGAAUGUGUGGAAUGUAGCACUAGAGCUGAAAGAUGCUGAGAAAAUCCAUUUAAAGGGUCAUGAUGUGGAUCGUGGCUUUAAAUGUGUUUAUUGUCACAUGACUGAGUAAAUCUUAAUGGAAAAUCAUUGAAGAUCACACAUGUGAAUAAAAGAAACCUUCCAGUGCUUCAUCUGUGAAAGUGCUUUUAUAUCACUUUAUAAAGUGCCUGGAAAGUGCCCAGAAACAGCCAUCAGAGGAAACCUCAUCUCAGUGCACAUCAUCUGGAACUGAGCAGAUAAGCAAUCUUCAUGUAGCUUGCUUGGCAUUAUCAGGAUAUGGUUAUGUGCCCACACAGUGAUUUUACCAAGCCUUCAAAGUUACUGGCUUCAUCUCCAUCACAACAUCCUUACAUGUGUCGGUGGUGUCUUGACUGAACCACGCUGGUGCACACUGGAUUGGAGAGUCAGAUCAGGUAUUCAAAACCAGAUAUCAGUUGAGUGGACAUCACAAGCAAAACCACAAAUGGAAGAGAAGGAAGAAGCCUGAAGAUAAUCCUGUGUGUUUCAACACAAAAGCAACUUGAAAGAAGGAUUCAAGCUAAUUUAAAUGUAGUAUGUACAGUAAGUAUGAUCUGUAUUAUAGCAAAACUUGCUAUUUUGUUUCUUAAUUACAGAUUGGUAAUCUGGCACAUCUCUUUAUUUGCUGAUUUACUUACAUAUUUUUGUAAGAAAGUUGCUCUUUGAUAGCCUGAACAAAAAUAAAAAUUGCUGCCUCCUACUUGGUUUGUGAUAGUACCAGUCUUUAGAAUAAAUUAAGCAUGUGCUGAUCAAAAGGUGCAGCUAAGGUUUUCUGCAGCAGUUUGUUGCAGGCAAUAUCAAAGUCCAGGCACUGAAAUAGAUUCUUUCAGGAGCCAAGAGAAAUGCUGUGAGACUUCUUGGAAUUCUGCAAGUUAACUAGGUGAAAAAACAGCUUCCUUUGGGUCAUGGCUGCAUUUUUAAGAGGAACAUUAACUGAAGUACCAGUUUUAUCAGUUAAUGUAAAAUUCUACUUAUCUGCACUUGUAAGGGUUAACACCAAGACUUUGCCUGGCCUCAAGUGCGUCCUUUCUUCCAAAGAGAUUUUGAGAAGGCAUUUGAUGUUUUUCUGUUAUUCUGAAAAGAUAUCUUUUUCUUUGAUAAAGAAAAUAAUAAUCUCUAGCCAUCACCUGUCCAUGAGUUGACAUUACAAAAUAUCAAAAUCUGAUAGCUUUUCUAAUAUUUAGGUAGAGAAGCUUGAGUACAUCUCUUGGUUUCUUCUAAGUAUGUGCAUUUGGCUUGGGGUGCUUUCUCUUUUUGUUGUUGUUUGUGACCAUACAUGUCUGUUACAUUGUCAGAAAACAUUUUUGCAACAUUUUGACUAGAGAAGUCACUUUCUUACUUUCACAGUUGUGUAUCAUAAAUAAAUUCAAAUAAUCAAAGCUUUUUCCCCAAAGGCUUCUUUGUCUCACUGUUUUCUAGGACUUAAAUAAUUGUCUAUACUGAAUCUGGCUUUCCUCAUUUGAAGUUAUUGCUCAUGUGGAAAAUAAUAAAUAUAUGUUUUAGUAGCUCUCUGAAAUUAGUAUAAUAAAAAGAAAGCAAAAAUGGAAUUUGGGUUCAGCUAGUCAAAGGCCUAAUUGCUUGAAGUGGGCUAGAGCCUUUUUGUUAGUAAGUAGGGAGCAGCCCAAUGUGCUGAUGAUGUACCUUGUACAUAGACAUCUGCCUUCUGGGCUUUU
Pyrgilauda ruficollis (rufous-necked snowfinch) is the source of this 2834-nucleotide long non-coding RNA. RefSeq lists it as uncharacterized. The transcript has 4 exons. The record is from RefSeq and is a predicted model, not a curated record. NCBI's taxonomy places the organism in Eukaryota, Metazoa, Chordata, Aves, Passeriformes, Passeridae.